Molecule: ribosomal RNA, 233 nt
Filed under: uncultured Actinomycetales bacterium
Lineage: Bacteria; Bacillati; Actinomycetota; Actinomycetes; Actinomycetales
Description: partial 16S ribosomal RNA
Rfam family: Bacterial small subunit ribosomal RNA
Source: RNAcentral
GGCGAACGGGUGAGUAACACGUGGGUAAUCUGCCCUGCACUCUGGGAUAAGCCUGGGAAACUGGGUCUAAUACUGGAUAUGACCUUUCUCCUUAUGGGGUUUGGUGGAAAGUUUUUCGGUGUAGGAUGAGCCCGCGGCCUAUCAGCUUGUUGUGGGUGAUGGCCUACCAAGGCGACGACGGGUAGCCGGCCUGAGAGGGUGAUCGGCCACAUUGGGACUGAGAUACGGCCCAG